Non-coding RNA from Salmo salar (Atlantic salmon), 54 nucleotides. Lineage: Eukaryota; Metazoa; Chordata; Actinopteri; Salmoniformes; Salmonidae. The record is from Rfam.
AAUGCACCAAUUUGUAAGUCGCUCUGGAUAAGAGCGUCUGCUAAAUGACUGUAA